GGAAAUGAGCAGGUGCUAGAGCAGUGGUGAGAAUAUCUCCCAUCAGGGAGCCCCAUGGUCAGGCAGAGACCAGAAUGGGAGAAUGUUCCUCAUCUUCCAGGAACAACAGUAAGCCCAUGUGAUGGAAGCCAGCUGAGAGACAGAGAAACAAUGUGAGAUCCAAGAAAUUAUGGGGUUUUCCCUAAAAGCUGUGCGUGGAAGGUUUGCCAGCAAAUUGGUAGAUCUACCUGACUUGGACAAGGCAUCACAAAUGCCUAGAAAUUCUGGAUAAAUUCUUAUAAAAGAUAUUUGGUAAUCCCUAA
Zalophus californianus (California sea lion) is the source of this 302-nucleotide long non-coding RNA. RefSeq lists it as uncharacterized. NCBI's taxonomy places the organism in Eukaryota, Metazoa, Chordata, Mammalia, Carnivora, Otariidae. The transcript has 3 exons. The record is from RefSeq and is a predicted model, not a curated record.